AUGGAAAAUCAAAACCACACAGUGGCCAUGGAUGCCAAGCUGAUGGUGUCCACACACGGUGGCCAUGUCAACAUGUUGAAGGAUGUGCUGAACAAGGAGGAUGCCAUGGCGACGAUGCUUCCCAGUGAGGACCAAUCUGGUGCCGCUGCCAUCAAUCCCCUGCUGCUUCUGUCAGCGCGCAGGGGCUCCUGGGAGGCCCUGAAUGCCCUUCUCCAGAGGGAAGACGCAAGGGAUCCACCAAUGAUGAUUCCCACUCUUGAAUUUCUUGAGUUGGUAGCGGGAGGCAGCGGCGCCCAGGGAAGAAGUGCGGCGUCUGCUGGUCGUGAUGUAGAAGAGGGCGUUGACCAGCAGCCUGCUGCUUCGCCUGCAGCUGGAGCACUCCUCAAGGGCGUCACCGCCGACGGGGAUACCGCACUACAUGCGGUCGCCGGCAACGGCGAUUGCCAGAAUUUCUUGAAGUAUGCCGGCAUCGUCUACGACAGGGACAGGGCGCUCCUGUUUGUGCAGAAUCACAAGGGUGACACACCCUUGCAUUGCGCUGCCCGAGCUGGGAACUCCAAGAUGGUUUCUCGUCUCAUUGAUCUAGCUGCGUGUGAGGGCGACGGCAGGAAGCUGGAGCUCUUGAGGAUGGAAAACAAGCGUCAGGAGACGGCCCUGCACGAGGCUGUCCGAUUUGAAGACGGUGGAAUUCUGGGUCACAAGGAGAGAUUAUUGCUUGAUGCCGCCGACCCCACCGGAGAAGAAAAGAAUAAGCGUGGCAAGGCAGAGACAGAGGGUGCCCUAAAUGAAGACGGUAAAAGUCCGGUCGCCGCACCGGAAGAACAGGCUAUUGUCAAGCUGCUGAUGGGCGCUGAUCGCGAAUUGGCUAAUUAUCCUGCAGGCGGCAUUUCACCACUGUACCUAGCCGUCUUGCUGGAGAAGGGUACAAUUGCACUGACUUUACACGCAAUGAGUGGUGGCAAUCUCUCCUAUUCCGGAGCAGACGGACAAAAUGCCUUGCAUCUUAGUAUUCUUCGAGAUACAGGUACCCGCUAA
Molecule: ribosomal RNA, 1035 nt
Filed under: Triticum aestivum (bread wheat)
Lineage: Eukaryota; Viridiplantae; Streptophyta; Magnoliopsida; Poales; Poaceae
Description: partial small subunit ribosomal RNA
Source: RNAcentral